Molecule: ribosomal RNA, 772 nt
Filed under: uncultured bacterium
Lineage: Bacteria
Description: bacterial SSU rRNA
Rfam family: Bacterial small subunit ribosomal RNA
Source: RNAcentral
AGAGUUUGAUCCUGGCUCAGGACGAACGCUGGCGGCGUGCUUAACACAUGCAAGUCAAGCGGUAAGGCCCUUCGGGGUACACGAGCGGCGAACGGGUGAGUAACACGUGAGCAAUCUGCCCAUCACUUCGGGAUAACUCCGGGAAACCGGAGCUAAUACCGGAUAUGACCACUUCAGGCAUCUGACGGUGGUGGAAAGUUCUGGCGGUGAUGGAUGAGCUCGCGGCCUAUCAGCUUGUUGGUGGGGUAACGGCCCACCAAGGCUUCGACGGGUAGCCGGCCUGAGAGGGUGACCGGCCACACUGGGACUGAGACACGGCCCAGACUCCUACGGGAGGCAGCAGUGGGGAAUAUUGGACAAUGGGCGAAAGCCUGAUCCAGCAACGCCGCGUGAGGGAUGACGGCCUUCGGGUUGUAAACCUCUUUCAGCAGGGACGAAGCGUAAGUGACGGUACCUGCAGAAGAAGCACCGGCCAACUACGUGCCAGCAGCCGCGGUAAUACGUAGGGUGCGAGCGUUGUCCGGAAUUAUUGGGCGUAAAGAGCUCGUAGGCGGUUUGUCGCGUCGGGAGUGAAAACUCAGGGCUUAACCCUGAGCCUGCUUUCGAUACGGGCAGACUAGAGGUAUGCAGGGGAGAACGGAAUUCCUGGUGUAGCGGUGAAAUGCGCAGAUAUCAGGAGGAACACCGGUGGCGAAGGCGGUUCUCUGGGCAUUACCUGACGCUGAGGAGCGAAAGUGUGGGGAGCGAACGGGAUUAGAUACCCUAGUAGUCC